Molecule: ribosomal RNA, 669 nt
Filed under: uncultured bacterium
Lineage: Bacteria
Description: bacterial SSU rRNA
Rfam family: Bacterial small subunit ribosomal RNA
Source: RNAcentral
GCAGUCGACGGUACAGAAAGCAGCUUGCUGCUUUGCUGACGAGUGGCGGACGGGUGAGUAAUGUCUGGGAAACUGCCUGAUGGAGGGGGAUAACUACUGGAAACGGUAGCUAAUACCGCAUAACGUCGCAAGACCAAAGAGGGGGACCUUCGGGCCUCUUGCCAUCGGAUGUGCCCAGAUGGGAUUAGCUUGUUGGUGGGGUAACGGCUCACCUAGGCGACGAUCCCUAGCUGGUCUGAGAGGAUGACCAGCCACACUGGAACUGAGACACGGUCCAGACUCCUACGGGAGGCAGCAGUGGGGAAUAUUGCACAAUGGGCGCAAGCCUGAUGCAGCCAUGCCGCGUGUAUGAAGAAGGCCUUCGGGUUGUAAAGANCUUUCAGCGGGGAGGAAGGGAGUAAAGUUAAUACCUUUGCUCAUUGACGUUACCCGCAGAAGAAGCACCGGCUAACUCCGUGCCAGCAGCCGCGGUAAUACGGAGGGUGCAAGCGUUAAUCGGAAUUACUGGGCGUAAAGCGCACGCAGGCGGUUUGUUAAGUCAGAUGUGAAAUCCCCGGGCUCAACCUGGGAACUGCAUCUGAUACUGGCAAGCUUGAGUCUCGUAGAGGGGGGUAGAAUUCCAGGUGUAGCGGUGAAAUGCGUAGAGAUCUGGAGGAAUACCGGUGGCGA